Molecule: ribosomal RNA, 460 nt
Filed under: uncultured bacterium
Lineage: Bacteria
Description: partial 16S ribosomal RNA
Rfam family: Bacterial small subunit ribosomal RNA
Source: RNAcentral
CCUACGGGAGGCAGCAGUGAGGAAUAUUGGUCAAUGGACGAGAGUCUGAACCAGCCAAGUAGCGUGAAGGAUGACUGCCCUAUGGGUUGUAAACUUCUUUUAUAAAGGAAUAAAACGAGGCACGUGUGCCUUUUUGCAUGUACUUUAUGAAUAAGGAUCGGCUAACUCCGUGCCAGCCGCCGCGGUAAUACGGAGGAUCCGAGCGUUAUCCGGAUUUAUUGGGUUUAAAGGGAGCGUAGAUGGGUUGUUAAGUCAGUUGUGAAAGUUUGCGGCUCAACCGUAAAAUUGCAAUUGAUACUGGCAGUCUUGAGUACAGGUGAGGUAGGCGGAAUUCGUGGUGUAGCGGUGAAAUGCUUAGAUAUCACGAAGAACCCCGAUUGCGAAGGCAGCUUACUAAACUGUGACUGACACUGAGGCUCGAAAGUGUGGGUAUCAAACAGGAUUAGAUACCCUGGUAGUC